AGUGAACGCUGGCGGAAUGCUUUACACAUGCAAGUCGAACGGCAGCACGGACUUCGGUCUGGUGGCGAGUGGCGAACGGGUGAGUAAUGUAUCGGAACGUGCCCAGUCGUGGGGGAUAACGUAGUGAAAAUUACGCUAAUACCGCAUACGAUCUAUGGAUGAAAGCGGGGGAUCGCAAGACCUCGCGCGAUUGGAGCGGCCGAUAUCAGAUUAGGUAGUUGGUGGGGUAAAGGCCCACCAAGCCAACGAUCUGUAGCUGGUCUGAGAGGACGACCAGCCACACUGGAACUGAGAGACGGUCCAGACUCCUACGGGAGGCAGCAGUGGGGAAUUUUGGACAAUGGGCGAAAGCCUGAUCCAGCCAUUCCGCGUGCAGGAUGAAGGCCCUCGGGUUGUAAACUGCUUUUGUACAGAACGAAAAGGUUUCUACUAAUACUAGGAGCUCAUGACGGUACUGUAAGAAUAAGCACCGGCUAACUACGUGCCAGCCGCCGCGGUAA
RNAcentral lists this ribosomal RNA (500 nucleotides) under uncultured bacterium. Its description in RNAcentral is "partial 16S ribosomal RNA". It matches the Rfam family "Bacterial small subunit ribosomal RNA", at positions 29 to 523 of the family's 1533-position model. The record is from RNAcentral.